GGGCAUUCUUUCAUCCAUCUGAUCCAGACGCAGGUUUCCUCUCAUGGAGUUAGGAGCUAUUGACAAGCCAAAAAAGAUGAAGCCAAAACUAAGAAGACGUUCUUCUGAAUCUGAUGUAUCUGAUAGAUCACUAUCGCCAUCUUCAGAUAAAGAAAACGAGAUGUUCCGUACUAAUUUAUUAGCGGUCGCCUUCUGAUGGUCAAG
Erigeron canadensis is the source of this 204-nucleotide long non-coding RNA. RefSeq lists it as uncharacterized. The record is from RefSeq and is a predicted model, not a curated record. NCBI's taxonomy places the organism in Eukaryota, Viridiplantae, Streptophyta, Magnoliopsida, Asterales, Asteraceae. The transcript has 3 exons.